CUUAGCUUUUCUCCUAUGGACUAUGGAGUCACGGAGAGCCAUAUCCACCAGACCUCUCUCUAAGUCCAAACGACUUCAAAGUUAAAACUUCAAAUUCAUCCAAGGGAUAACUUCUUGAUAGUAAUCAAACAUGCCGCAUAGAACCCGACCUAUGACAGCCCUUUUGGUAUUUACUGGACUCAAUGUCUUUCUAGUUUCAACCAUUACUCCUGUCUAUGAUUUCGUGUGCUUCCUUCCUUACUGGGAAAGAAGGAGAGAACAACAUCGUCAACAACAGGAAGUUGCUUUAGCAAAGGGGUUUGAAUCAAAAUAAAAUGAUCUAUGUGCUGAAGAGAAGGAUAGGAAGACAGGAGAAGCUUUAUAUGAGUACCUAUUGAUUUUCUCAUUUAUAUUCUGUGGCUGUAGAUUUUAGCAUUGGGAUAUGUGUAGAUAGAACACCAAAGAUUUGGAAGAAAUUAUGAUCGAUCUGUCUCAAGUAAAUUAUUCUCUGUUUCAUCUAGGCUUUGAUAUACUUGAUAGUCUAGAUUUUCACUCAA
This is a long non-coding RNA of Quercus lobata, 536 nucleotides long. RefSeq lists it as uncharacterized. NCBI's taxonomy places the organism in Eukaryota, Viridiplantae, Streptophyta, Magnoliopsida, Fagales, Fagaceae. The record is from RefSeq and is a predicted model, not a curated record. The transcript has 3 exons.